CCUACGGGUGGCAGCAGUGGGGAAUAUUGGGCAAUGGGCGCAAGCCUGACCCAGCAACGCCGCGUGAAGGAAGAAGGCUUUCGGGUUGUAAACUUCUUUUAUUGAGGACGAAACAAAUGACGGUACUCAAUGAAUAAGCCACGGCUAACUACGUGCCAGCAGCCGCGGUAAUACGUAGGUGGCAAGCGUUAUCCGGAUUUACUGGGUGUAAAGGGCGUGUAGGCGGGACUGCAAGUCAGAUGUGAAACCCAUGGGCUCAACCCAUGGCCUGCAUUUGAAACUGUAGUUCUUGAGUGAUGGAGAGGCAGGCGGAAUUCCGUGUGUAGCGGUGAAAUGCGUAGAUAUAUGGAAGAACACCAGUGGCGAAGGCGGCUCUCUGGUCUGCAACUGACGCUGAGGCUCGAAAGCAUGGGUAGCGAACAGGAUUAGAUACCCUGGUAGUC
This 443-nucleotide ribosomal RNA is filed under the name uncultured bacterium. RNAcentral's name for it is "partial 16S ribosomal RNA". It matches the Rfam family "Bacterial small subunit ribosomal RNA", at positions 338 to 795 of the family's 1533-position model. The record is from RNAcentral.